GAUGAACGCUGGCGGCGUGCCUAAUACAUGCAAGUCGAGCGAACAGACGAGGAGCUUGCUCCUCUGACGUUAGCGGCGGACGGGUGAGUAACACGUGGAUAACCUACAUAUAAGACUGGGAUAACUUCGGGAAACCGGAGCUAAUACCGGAUAAUAUAUUGAACCGCAUGGUUCAAUAGUGAAAGACGGUUUUGCUGUCACUUAUAGAUGGAUCCGCGCCGCAUUAGCUAGUUGGUAAGGUAACGGCUUACCAAGGCAACGAUGCGUAGCCGACCUGAGAGGGUUGUUGGCCACCAUGGAACUGAGAACCGGUCCCGGCUCCUACGGGGAGCAGCAGUAGGGAAUCUUCCGCAAUGGGCGGAAGCCUGGCGGAGCAACGCCGCGUGAGUGAUGAAAGUCUUCGGAUCGUAAAACUCUGUUAUUAGGGAAGAACAACUGUGUAAGUAACUAUGCACGUCUUGACGGUACCUAAUCAGAAAGCCACGGCUAACUACGUG
This 497-nucleotide ribosomal RNA is filed under the name uncultured bacterium. Its description in RNAcentral is "partial 16S ribosomal RNA". It matches the Rfam family "Bacterial small subunit ribosomal RNA", at positions 28 to 507 of the family's 1533-position model. The record is from RNAcentral.